This 1426-nucleotide ribosomal RNA is filed under the name uncultured organism. RNAcentral describes it as "16S ribosomal RNA". It matches the Rfam family "Bacterial small subunit ribosomal RNA". The record is from RNAcentral.
AACACAUGCAAGUCGAGGGGCAUCAGGAACAAUGCUUGCUUUCUUUGCCGGCGACCGGCGCACGGGUGAGUAACACGUAUCCAACCUGCCCUUUACUCGGGGAUAGCCUUUCGAAAGAAAGAUUAAUACCCGAUAGUAUAAUGAUUCCGCAUGGUUUCAUUAUUAAAGGAUUCCGGUAAAGGAUGGGGAUGCGUUCCAUUAGGUUGUUGGUGAGGUAACGGCCCACCAAGCCUUCGAUGGAUAGGGGUUCUGAGAGGAAGGUCCCCCACAUUGGAACUGAGACACGGUCCAAACUCCUACGGGAGGCAGCAGUGAGGAAUAUUGGUCAAUGGGCGCUAGCCUGAACCAGCCAAGUAGCGUGAAGGAUGAAGGCUCUAUGGGUCGUAAACUUCUUUUAUAUAAGAAUAAAGUGCAGUAUGUAUACUGUUUUGUAUGUAUUAUAUGAAUAAGGAUCGGCUAACUCCGUGCCAGCAGCCGCGGUAAUACGGAGGAUCCGAGCGUUAUCCGGAUUUAUUGGGUUUAAAGGGAGCGUAGGUGGACUGGUAAGUCAGUUGUGAAAGUUUGCGGCUCAACCGUAAAAUUGCAGUUGAUACUGUCAGUCUUGAGUACAGUAGAGGUGGGCGGAAUUCGUGGUGUAGCGGUGAAAUGCUUAGAUAUCACGAAGAACUCCGAUUGCGAAGGCAGCUCACUGGACUGCAACUGACACUGAUGCUCGAAAGUGUGGGUAUCAAACAGGAUUAGAUACCCUGGUAGUCCACACAGUAAACGAUGAAUACUCGCUGUUUGCGAUAUACAGUAAGCGGCCAAGCGAAAGCAUUAAGUAUUCCACCUGGGGAGUACGCCGGCAACGGUGAAACUCAAAGGAAUUGACGGGGGCCCGCACAAGCGGAGGAACAUGUGGUUUAAUUCGAUGAUACGCGAGGAACCUUACCCGGGCUUAAAUUGCAGUGGAAUGAUGUGGAAACAUGUCAGUGAGCAAUCACCGCUGUGAAGGUGCUGCAUGGUUGUCGUCAGCUCGUGCCGUGAGGUGUCGGCUUAAGUGCCAUAACGAGCGCAACCCUUAUCUUCAGUUACUAACAGGUCAUGCUGAGGACUCUGGAGAGACUGCCGUCGUAAGAUGUGAGGAAGGUGGGGAUGACGUCAAAUCAGCACGGCCCUUACGUCCGGGGCUACACACGUGUUACAAUGGGGGGUACAGAAGGCAGCUAGCGGGUGACCGUAUGCUAAUCCCAAAAGCCUCUCUCAGUUCGGAUCGAAGUCUGCAACCCGACUUCGUGAAGCUGGAUUCGCUAGUAAUCGCGCAUCAGCCACGGCGCGGUGAAUACGUUCCCGGGCCUUGUACACGCCGCCCGUCAAGCCAUGGGAGCCGGGGGUACCUGAAGUACGUAACCGCAAGGAUCGUCCUAGGGUAAAACUGGUGACUGGG